Molecule: ribosomal RNA, 583 nt
Filed under: uncultured bacterium
Lineage: Bacteria
Description: bacterial SSU rRNA
Rfam family: Bacterial small subunit ribosomal RNA
Source: RNAcentral
UCCGGAAGACCUAGUGGCGAACGGGUGAGUAACACGUGAGGAACUUGCCCCGGAGACUGGGAUAAGCCCCCGAAAGGGGGUCUAAUACCGGAUGUCCUCACCGAGUCGCAUGGCUUGGUGAGGAAAUGGAUUCCGCUCCGGGAGAGCCUCGCGGCCUAUCAGCUAGUUGGUGGGGUAACGGCCCACCAAGGCAUCGACGGGUAGCUGGUCUGAGAGGACGAUCAGCCACACUGGGACUGAGACACGGCCCAGACUCCUACGGGAGGCAGCAGUGGGGAAUCUUGCGCAAUGGGCGAAAGCCUGACGCAGCAACGCCGCGUGCGGGAUGACGGCCCUCGGGUUGUAAACCGCUUUCAGUGGGGACGAACCAAGGCGGUACCCACAGAAGAAGGUCCGGCCAACUACGUGCCAGCAGCCGCGGUAACACGUAGGGACCAAGCGUUGUCCGGAUUCAUUGGGCGUAAAGAGCUCGUAGGCGGUUCGAUAAGUCGGGUGUGAAACCUCCAGGCUCAACCUGGAGACGCCACCCGAUACUGUCGUGACUAGAGUCCAGUAGGGGAGCGUGGAAUUCCUGGUGUAGCGG